This is an RNA transcript of Chenopodium quinoa (quinoa), 1057 nucleotides long. It is a transcript of the gene named putative respiratory burst oxidase homolog protein H, with no coding region annotated. NCBI's taxonomy places the organism in Eukaryota, Viridiplantae, Streptophyta, Magnoliopsida, Caryophyllales, Amaranthaceae. The record is from RefSeq and is a predicted model, not a curated record. The transcript is spliced from 3 exons.
CAGAAAGAGGCCUGAGAAGGCGUACUUUUAUUGGGUUACAAGUGAACAAGGCUCCUUUGAUUUGUUUAAGGAUGUCGUGGAUGAUAUUGCACAAUAUGAUUCAGAUAAUGUGAUAGAAAUCUGUUACUACUUGACUAGUGUGUAUGAAGAAGGUGAUGCUCGAUCUGUACUUAUACAAAUGGUACAAUCAUUGCAGUAUGCUAGGAACAGAGUUGACGUGAUUUCUGAAAGCCAGAUAAAAACAUAUUUUGCAAAACCUGAAUGGUACAAGGUAGGUGAGAAACUAGCUGCCACACACAAAUCACAAAAAAUAGGUAAUUUUUUUUUUUUUUCAAAGUAUCUGAAUUCUGAAAGGGGCAGUAAUUUAGUUAUGUUUGAUUUUGUUGUACUUGACAUAGCGCCUUGACUGAUGAAUGUUUAAAUCUGUAUCUUCAUUAUAUUGUAGGUGUAUUUUGUUGUGGAAAUCAAAGUGAGAUAAAAUUACUGAGGAGGUUUUGCAAAUAUGUUGGCCUUAACAUUACCUUCCACUUCCACAAGGAGAACCUUUAGGGUUCGGAUACAGCAGAAAAUCCUGCAGGGGAAAUUACAAAUGAAUGCAAACCUGUCCAAUUGAUUAUUCAAGAUUCAUCCCUUUCAAGCUUCUCAUGAUGUUCAAGGCCCUGUACCAAUUUGCUCGGUUUGUUAACUAAAACAAAUAACUAAUUUCUGUUAGACUAAUUUUAUGAAUGUUUUCAUAAUAUUUUUUUUAUUUUUUUUUUAUUUUUAUGGGGGGAAUCAUCUGUUAUUUACUGAUGAUUUGUGUGAAAAGUGAACCUUCUUGCAUUUCUUUUCAGAAACAACUACCAUGGUUAAAAUUCUGGUUUAAUGCUAUGUAACCUUCAUUUGUAUACAAAUAAAACACGGAUCUUCAUCAAAGUGUGUCUCUAUAUCACAGAUUCUUUUAUUGUUUCCAGUAAUGUAGUCUGAUUUUAGCAUAUAUUCCUUUUCUAAUGCUUGCUUCUGCAUAUGUCAAGUGUUUCAAAUUGCCAUGCUUUCUUGAUGUUGUGCUAUACAGACA